Molecule: small RNA, 27 nt
Filed under: Bombyx mori (domestic silkworm)
Lineage: Eukaryota; Metazoa; Arthropoda; Insecta; Lepidoptera; Bombycidae
Description: piRNA piR-bmo-1528768
Source: RNAcentral
GGGAACUGGCAGCUCUGCACAAUUGCA